GGACACAUCCGGAUUUCAGACCUCGGUUUGGCCACAGAGAUCCCAGAAGGACAGAGGGUUCGAGGAAGAGUUGGAACAGUCGGCUACAUGGCACCUGAAGUUGUCAAUAAUGAAAAGUAUACGUUUAGUCCCGAUUGGUGGGGACUUGGCUGUCUGAUCUAUGAAAUGAUUCAGGGACAUUCUCCAUUCAAAAAAUACAAAGAGAAAGUCAAAUGGGAGGAGGUUGAUCAAAGAAUCAAGAAUGAUACCGAGGAGUAUUCUGAGAAGUUUUCAGAGGAUGCCAAAUCUAUCUGCAGGAUGCCUCAUGCCGUUUACUGUAAGGACGUCCUGGAUAUCGAGCAGUUCUCGGUGGUGAAAGGGAUCUACCUGGACACCGCAGAUGAAGACUUCUAUGCUCGGUUUGCUACCGGGUGUGUCUCCAUCCCCUGGCAGAAUGAGAUGAUCGAAUCUGGGUGUUUCAAAGACAUCAACAAAAGUGAAAGUGAGGAAGCUUUGCCAUUAGAUCUAGACAAGAACAUACAUACCCCGGUUUCCAGACCAAACAGAGGCUUCUUCUAUAGACUCUUCAGAAGAGGGGCAGUUUUAUACAGUCUGAGAGCCACAUGGUGUUAGGUGGAGGCCAGCCAGAACAAUGAGAACACCCUCGCAGUGAGGUUUGUUGCUGGGAUGAAGACUGUUCUGAUCCAAAACAGGACUACCUUCCAGCAUUUACAAACAGGUUCCCGUGUCGCUGACAAAAUAGUUUACACUGGGCUCAGAAAUCGGCAUCCUGUGGAACCUUCGUCAGGUGGCACUCACACGUGCAUCUCUCCCUGCUCUGGCUCUUAGACUC
RNAcentral lists this small RNA (832 nucleotides) under Pan troglodytes (chimpanzee). Its description in RNAcentral is "processed transcript". Lineage: Eukaryota; Metazoa; Chordata; Mammalia; Primates; Hominidae. The record is from RNAcentral.